GGGCGAAUGGUUUAGUGGUAUAAUACUCCCUUAGCAUGAUUCAUCCAGAAUAAUCUGGGAGUGGUCCAGGGUUCGAUUCCCUGUUCGUCCA
Molecule: transfer RNA, 91 nt
Filed under: Fusarium oxysporum f. sp. vasinfectum 25433
Lineage: Eukaryota; Fungi; Ascomycota; Sordariomycetes; Hypocreales; Nectriaceae
Also listed under: 1 other name
Description: tRNA-Ala
Rfam family: tRNA
About the family: Transfer RNA (tRNA) molecules are approximately 80 nucleotides in length. Their secondary structure includes four short double-helical elements and three loops (D, anti-codon, and T loops).
Source: RNAcentral